RNAcentral lists this transfer RNA (73 nucleotides) under Candidatus Woesearchaeota archaeon. RNAcentral's name for it is "tRNA-Asn". It matches the Rfam family "tRNA". From Rfam's summary of the family: Transfer RNA (tRNA) molecules are approximately 80 nucleotides in length. Their secondary structure includes four short double-helical elements and three loops (D, anti-codon, and T loops). Lineage: Archaea; Nanobdellati; Candidatus Woesearchaeota. The record is from RNAcentral.
GCCUUCGUAGCUCAGUAGGUAGAGCACCUGACUGUUAAUCAGGUGGUCGGAAGUUCGAGUCUUCCCGAAGGCG